CAAACAUGGAGUGUCUGGUUCAGUUAAGAAUAAGAAUAAGAACUUUAUUAAUCCCUGAAGGUAAAUUCAAUUGUCUGUUGUCUCACAUAAUAUGUCUCUAAAAGUUAUCUUCUAUUUACACAAGAGUUAUAAAGUCUAAUGGCUGUUGGUACUAAAGAUCUUCUGAAUUUUUCUGUCCUGCAGUGAAGAGAGAGGAGCCGUCCACCACCAUUGGCCCUUUGGUCCAUCAAGGUGUUAUGAAGUGGGUGAUCCAUGUUCUUUGGAAUAGUCUCCACCUUCCUCAGAGUAGAUCUCUCCUUCACAUCCUCCACUGAGUCCAGCUUGAGUCCAAUCACAGAGCCAG
This is a non-coding RNA of Xyrichtys novacula (pearly razorfish), 343 nucleotides long. The record is from the annotation of a GenBank genome assembly. Lineage: Eukaryota; Metazoa; Chordata; Actinopteri; Labriformes; Labridae.